Bombyx mori (domestic silkworm) is the source of this 6395-nucleotide RNA transcript. RefSeq lists it as uncharacterized. Lineage: Eukaryota; Metazoa; Arthropoda; Insecta; Lepidoptera; Bombycidae. The record is from RefSeq and is a predicted model, not a curated record. The transcript is spliced from 21 exons.
ACAGUGUAGCGCCUGCAUAACUAUAUCAAUACAUUUCUAAACAUUUAUUUAUUCGAUAUUAACCUACAAACACUUUGAACUUGCGGAGAUAUUGUUUUAAAUUUUAUAAUUUAUUUUAUUUGGAUAUUGACGACCAUGGAAUAGCACGAAUAUUGUCUCGACGAAUUCAAGACAUGGGGCUGGUAAGUUAAUUUAAUAACAUGAUAUUUUUACCGCCAAAAAUGAACCUAUUUACUGUUAUAAUAUGCUAGUAAGUAAACAUGUAAAGACAUUUUUGGUUAUAUAGACAUUGAAAUAAGGCUAAUUUAUGAGCGCUUCUUCCUUAAAACAAUCUGCUUAAUUCUACUAAUAUUCAAUUUGGUCACGUUAUCUUAAAAAAAUGAUUCCAGUUUACGUAAACUCUAAAGACGUCGUCAAGUAAACUAAGUUAAGUACUAAGGCUACGUAAUUUAUGAAAUGUUAUGUUUCAUAAAUUUACAAAGAAAUGCAAAUGCUUAAAAAAUUAUUAAGAAAUUAAAUUAAUUCAUCAAAACAAAAUUUAAGUUUUAAAAAAAUGGGACGGUUGUAGAAAGUUUGCCUGCUCUAGUGCGAAACGGAAUGUAUCUUUUCCGAACCAAUGGGUAGCUAGCAAUCUUCCCCCUCCAAUAUUAGCGCUAUUGCAGCGCCUCCAGUGAUCAAAACAAAAACUAUUGUGAAAUAUCUCCAUCUUGUAUGACAGAUUUGUGUUUGUUGUUACUUUUCCGAUUUUAUUUAGUUAAUAUGUUUAUAUUAUACAUGUACAGUGCAUACACAUUAUACAUGUACAGUGUAGCGCCUGCAUAACUAUAUCAAUACAUUUCUAAACAUUUAUUUAUUCGAUAUUAACCUACAAACACUUUGAACUUGCGGAGAUAUUGUUUUAAAUUUUAUAAUUUAUUUAUAAUCGAUAUAAAUAUAAAUUUGUGUCAGUUGAAUACAGUAAAAUAUGGAAGUUACGUAUUCUAGUGAGAAUGAUCCGGGAGUUGCGGAACACGUCGAUGCGGUAAUUAAUCCUGAAACCUGUCCAUCAACAACAACCGGUCAUAAAAAAACUCAAGCAAUUCGACAACGAGAAUACAGACUUCGGAUGAAAGAAAAGUCUGGGCCUAAAAAACAGAAAGAGGACAGACCAGCCAAAAAGUCCGCAGCGGAGCGUCAACGGGAAUGCAGGUUGAGAAAAAAACUCCGAGCGAAUCAAAACAUCAACGCAGAGUCAAACUCAGACGUUACUGAAAUUUUACCGAGGCAAGAUGCAGGACCUUCCAACUACUUGACAUCGUUAAAAAUGUCAGAGAAAUGGAACGAAAUAAAUUCAAAGAAGAACGGCGAGGUGGACCCUCAGUUUUGGAAGGAACUAACAGACCACUAUCUCCGAUAUCCUGUGCUGUAUGUGAAGGGGCUAGGCAAUAUGAAGUUACAACGUCGUCAGGCGUACAUGGCUAUAUCCAAGGAUCUGGGCUUGGACGUUGGACCACGGGAUGUAUUCUGGCUGGUCAGAAGAUACCAAAAUUAUGUCAAAAAUUGUUUGACGACGCUGUAUUCCAAAGCUACGAGAAGUGGCAAGCAGCUGGAGGAUGUUCUGAAAACAGCGCCCGAAUGGCUGUUUAGGGCUGGCACUGAACUGAAGCUUAUCGACGAGUUGAAGCGCAAUCCAUCGGGGGAGAAGAAGACACCGGCGGAGAAGAAGGCAUCGGGGGAGAAGAAGAGCGAGAUGGAGGUGGAGCACGUGGUGGCGACGCUGGUGCGGCGCGCGCGGGGGGCGGGCGCGCUGGGGGGGGGCGCCGUGCUCGCGCCCCUCGGCCAGCUGUCCCCCGCCCUGCUGCAGCUCGUCUGGGGCCGCGUGCAGUCGAUCGUCCUGCAGAAGCUCAAGUACCUGAUAUCGACGGGCGACAACUUGCUGCUGGACUCGUCGCUGGCGCUGUCGCCCGCCGAGUGGGAGCUCCUCGACCUCAUCCUGCUGCAUUCGGACGCGGACGAGCUGCUCGUGUCCGACGAUAGCUUAAAACUGAACGACCAACGUCAGCCGCUGAUAAUGUUGUUCCACCUGGUGCAGCAGUACCACCUGGAGGGCGCCGGCAGCGCGCCCGCCCGCUGGCCCGCCGCGCAGGCCGCCUACCUCCACGGGCACUCGCACGUGUCGCUGGUGCUGCUGCAGCGCCGCUGGUACGAGCUGAAGCGCCACACGCGGCUGCGCUGCCUGCGCGACCCCGCCGCCCUCACGCCGCUGCACGUCGUCAUGCUGCGCCUGUACCCUGAAAUCGUAACGCAGCCGAUGGAAUCCUGGAGAGAGUUCGUGAAAAGCGGGAAAGUCUACCUGCCUGAUGCACACCGCGCGAGUGCGCCCGUCGCGGAUACAGAAGUACCUGCAGAGACCGAAGGAUCGACGAAAGUUCCACAACAGUUCUCAGACAACGAGGACGAUUUAAUAAUAAUUGAGAAAGAGAUAGAGACAGUAGAAGUAGACGAUGAGGACGACGAGCCCCGGCUGGUCAUCGAGGAGGACCGCGCCGCGACGCCGCCGCCCCCCGCCCCGCCCGGGGCGGAGCACCCCACACCGGACAGCUCCACCGGGCCCGGCGGGGCUGCCGAUACAGAUCCUGAACAGUUCAUAGCCCAAAUGAAGGAGCAAAGUAUACAAGUGUACAAACAGAUCUCCUUCGACAUUAGCGAGCAGCUGCAGGACAUGUCGCAGUCCGGGUGUGAGGUCGCCGGUCUCGAGGCGCUGGAGGGUCUGGACCCCGACCGCGUGCAGACCACUGUCAUCUUCGAAAGCGACGACGAAGACGAGGACUCCUCGCCGGACCCCGGCGCGCCCACCCCGGUGGACCCCGGCGCGCCCCACCCGGCGGACCCCGGCGCGCCCCACCCGGCGGACCCCGGCGCGCCCCACCCGGCGGACCCCGGCGGGGACUGCGGUCGCGAUAAUGUGUGUCCAAACAUAUAUCCCGUCAGUCUUGUGCAUGAUGAACCGAGCGACGAGCCGCCUACAAAAAAACCUAAACUGGAUGAAAUUAAUCAAUUUGUCGAAAAUACUGAACUAAAAGAAAAUAUUAAAGACGACCAAAAGAAUAAAAUAGAAAAAUGGAAUGAAUCAAAUGUAAAGAACGAAUCAGAUGAACGAACAGAAAACAAGGAACUGGGAGGAAUCUGCGAACUGCAAGCGAAGGACGAGCUGCUCGAGGGCGGCAGUGCACCGGGCGGCGCUGCCCGCGGGCGCUCCCCCGCCGGGGACGCGCGGGGCCUUGCCUCGCGGAGCAUGGACCGUAAGCUGUUCCUGGCGACGUCGGUGGCGCUGGUCGACCUGGCCGCGACGCAGUUCUGGAGGCGCUGCAGCAGGCGGGGCAGCAUCCGCCUGCGCGACGUGGACCCCGGGGAGCUGGAGCCGCCCGCGCGCCGCCCCCCGGGGUCCGCCCCCCCGGGGGAGACCUUCAGGGGACACGGCGACAGUGUUUUGAAGAGGCAAGCGAGUAGUGCGGCCCAGUCCAUGGCUUGGGAUAAAAACUUAAUAAGUGGACUCCAAGGCGAACAUCUUUCCGACGAGGGAGAGAACUUCGGCGAACUCACUCGAGACGAGAUCCUCAGGAGCAUGCAGCCCGACGAGGACGAUCUGAUGAGGGUCGCCAAGAAGACGAACUUGGACCUUCAAGGCAUAAAGAAUACUGCUGAUGUUUUACAGAUCAGCAGUGACGACGAGGACACGCCGCUGCAGGUCGUCAGGCAAAGGAACCAGCAGCGGGACCUGCGCCGCGUGCUGCCACCGGACGAGCUGGAGGGGAUCCUCAACAGCGUGGCCACGAACAAGGCCCCGACGAAGAACACGUUCUGUUGCCUGGCGCGCCGCCACAAGGUGAUGAACGACGCCCGGCGCCGCGUCGCGCACCGAGCCGGCAAGCAGGCCGGCUUCGUCAACAUGCACGACAAUGAGACCCACCUGCGCGCCUGCGCCUGCUGCUGCCGCCACCUGCUGGAGCGCAGCGAGGCCGACCUGGCACGCGACCUCGAGCACGCGCGCCGCUACCUGCGCGCGCUCGUGCUGCGGGGGGACGCGCGCGCGCCGCGGGGGGACGCGCCGGGGGGGGACGCGCCGGAGGGGGACGCGCCCGCGGAUAAGCCGCUUCUCGUCGAAGAGAACAAAAAACCAAAACCUAGUCGAAAACAAACAGACAAGCCAUUGACAGCGGACGCGCGCGACCCGGCGCUGGACGACGACUACCGCGAGUGGCUGAGACAGAAGACACUCAACACUCGCUACUUCGGGGAACAAAAGGUCAUCGCGAAGAAACAAACGAAGGCACGGUUCGACGGGCAGGUCAACUACAACCACGACCGCAACAACCACAUCAUCGACGUCGCGCGCACCAGAUACAUCGUCACCAGCAGCCGGGACCCGCUCGCGACCCCCCCGGCGCCCCCCACCCGCCACCAGCCCGCCCAGCCCGCCGUCCCACUCGAUUCCGUUCUUAAAGUUUCUGCAAACGAAUCACACGACACCGCGGAGCCGACGACGCUGAUCAUUGAGGUCCCGCCGCUAGAGAGGUGCAAAUCUGAACCCGCAGAACCGAGCGACUCCACGGAGCUUGGCGGCGGCAUCGCGGACGGCGCCGGCGACCUCCUCGUCGAAGUGCGCAAGCCCCUCGACGUGGCAGAGCGGCCGGGGGAGGGCGCGGGGGGUGUACCGGGGGGUGUGCCCGGGGGUGUGCCGGGGGGUGUGCCCGGGGGUGUGCCGGGGAGUGUGCCCGGGGGUGUGGCGGGGAGUGUGCCCGGGGCCGGGUGGGCGCCCGCCGCGCUGCGCGUGUACAAGGCCGUCAGCAGCGGCCCCUCCCUCGGGCCCGGCAGCGCGUCGCUCCUGAGGAACCUCGCGGCGGUCGGUGGCCCCGGUGCGGCCGGUCCUCGCCCCGUCGCCCUCAUACAGUACAAAGGAGGAAUCAAAAAAGUAAAGCAUUUACCGACCGAUGGAAGAAUCGUCCCGGUCAGGGUGAUCAGCGGCGGGCACGGGGUGCGGGGGCCCGUCGUGCGGCGCGUCCUCUCUACCAACCUCCUCCCUUCAUCCAGCCUCCUCCAGGCGACUGUCGACUGUGUUGCUCCUGAUCCCAAGGAAUUCGUCCCGAAAAUCGUAUCGUGCAACAGUCUGGCGGCGCCCGCGGACAGCAGCGGUGCGGGGGCCGUCUUCGUGCCCGUCGCCGCGCCGCACGACGGCUUGUCGCGGACCCCCUCCCGCACGUUCUGCGUGGUGUCCCCGCCCACCCGCGCCCUCCCCGCGCGCGCCUUCCUGGCGGGCCGGGACCCCACCUCGCUGCACGUCAUGUGCGCGGAGAGCGACCAGCCGCUGCUGCUGCUGGCCAGGGGGUACGUGAUGCUGUCCGCCGACCCCAUCGACCGGGUCAGUAUGUGUGUCCGUCAUAAUCGCCUUGUCGUUGCCGCCGCUGACUACUCCCCGACUCCUGAUCACGCAGGAGUUAGUGACCGCCGACGCCCUAGACACGUCCUUACGGAUCCAUCAGAUACAAUAACCUUUGCAUUAGACACCUUCAGCUCUAACACUAGGAGCAGGCUUAGGGACCCCGGUAACCGUACUCGUCCAACCUGUCGUGGUGUGCAACCUCUUUGACAGGACAUAAAACCUAUAAUGACUAGACAUAGAUAAACUAAGACAGAUAUUUGAAAAUAAUUCGAAAAGCAAUGGGACGAGGGCGCACGUGACCGGCGGCACGGCAGUACAUUUUUUGACUUCUGAAAAGACAGACAUACAAAAAGACGAAAAACACGAAUAAUAAUUGACCGUUCUUAUAUAAAAGGUUCAAGUGACCUUCGACCGUUCACAACCUAACUUAAAAAAAUCAGCCCACUGAGUUUCUCUACGGAUCUUCUCGGCGGGUCGGGAUUCCGAUCCGAUAGAAGAUUCAUUCGCGAAGCAGCUGUCCGUAAGUUGUUAGGUCUCAUCCGCAGGCGCUCGAACAACUGUUAUUAACAAAUCCCUUCCAUCAUCACUGAACCCUUGCUCGCCCACCUCCAGUCCUGAUGAAACUGGAAACUCCUCCGGGCCACCAAUAAUCCAUCAUAUUAAAAAAAUCGUAUAACGAAUGCCGCGCGGUCGCCGGCCGGGACCCCCGCCGCGCCCGCAGUCGGCUGGCGGUCAGCAGCCGCGGAGUCAGCUCAGCGCCCGCAGCACGCUCGGGUUAUAGCGACUACAACUAGACCCGCGGCCUCGCUGCAAUGCACGACUAAUUAUCGCUCAUACAAUGCACAUUGCUUAUGAAAAAUCCCGCGUAUUACACGAUAAGUAGCCUGAAAGAAUGGUCUCGCCUGGAGCUGAACUCGGGGCCGGCGGAGAGCGCAGUGCUGUCCGCGCACCUGUUCGGGGCCUCCGACCGCGUCAG